This 369-nucleotide long non-coding RNA is filed under the name Bos taurus (domestic cattle). RNAcentral describes it as "long non-coding RNA NONBTAT006565". The record is from RNAcentral. Lineage: Eukaryota; Metazoa; Chordata; Mammalia; Artiodactyla; Bovidae.
CAACUAAAAGGGAAGCUGUCACGAUUGAAUAUCUGCUUAGCAAUUGCUUUCUUAAUUCCUUUUCCCUGAAGGACAACUAUGCCCAGUGAAUUGUUGAAGCCCCUUUAAUUUGCUGGGUUAAAUAUUCACUCUCUACCAUCUAAUCCAAAUAUAGUCAGUUGGAAAAAAAAAAAAUGAAACGACUUUUGACAGACAUUUUGAGCUGGUGUACAAAGGUGGACCGAUUACAGGAAUUCAUUUAAAUAUCUUUUUUGCACGUGCAUGUUAAUCACGACUCAGAAACACCCUUUGAUAUUCACGGUGUAUCAGUCACUUUGAGAGUCAUUCAUUCAGUUGUGCGAUCAAGGCCGCUCUUCAGAGCUGGGCCCC